GAAAUUUAAGGGCGUACGGUGGAUGCCUUGACUUUAAGAAGCGAUGAAGGACGUGGCGUUGCUGCGAUAAGCUUCGGGGAGGUGCUUAGCAACCUUUGAUCCGAAGAUUUCCGAAUGGGGAAACCCUAUCAAGUAAACCUUGAUAAUUUUUUACGCAAGUAAAAUCUGCACACCUUGGGAAGUGAAACAUCUCAGUACCAAGAGGAAUAGAAACAAAUAUGCAUUUCCUUAGUAGCGGCGAGCGAAAAGGAAGGAGCCCAAACCGUAGUCGCAAGACUGCGGGGUUGUAAGGUAACAAUGUAGUUUACUAGAGGAGUCAAAAAAUAAAUUAUUAGCUUAAGUUGCUGGAAAGCGACACCAUAGGGGGUGAUAGUCCCGUGAGCGAAAAUAAUUUAUCUCUUUUAUUGUUAUUCUUGAGUACCCCAGGACAUGAGUGGCCGGGGGGAAUCCAGCGGAACUAACCGCUAAGGCUAAAUAUUCUUAAAGAUCGAUAGUGAACAAGUACCGUGAGGGAAAGGUGAAAAGCAGCCCGAUUAGGGCGGUGAAAUAGACCUGAAACCGUAUGUCUACAAGGAGUUGAAGUAGGGCCUCGGCUCUACGACAGCGUGCCUAUUGAAGAAUGAGCCAACGAGUUUAUGCAUACUGCUAGGCAAAGUGGACUAAAACCACAGAGCCAGAGGGAAACCGAGUGUUAAUAGCGCGACUGUAUCUUUAUUGAUACGGGUAGAAUGCAUAAGACCCGAAGCCAGGUGAGCUUGCCAUGAGCAGGUUGAAGUAGGUCGAAAGAUCUAUGGAGGACCGAACCGGUAGAUCGUACAACGUCUUCGGAUGACUUGUGGUAAGGAGUGAAAAGCUAAUCGAACCUGGUAAUAGCUGGUUCUCUCCGAAAUAGCUUUAGGGCUAGCGUCG
This 909-nucleotide ribosomal RNA is filed under the name Candidatus Nomurabacteria bacterium RIFOXYB1_FULL_39_16. Its description in RNAcentral is "bacterial LSU rRNA". It matches the Rfam family "Bacterial large subunit ribosomal RNA", at positions 1 to 884 of the family's 2925-position model. Lineage: Bacteria; Candidatus Nomuraibacteriota. The record is from RNAcentral.